GGUUAGCGCUUUUUUUUCUCAUUUCUCACAUACAAAAUUUGAUCUUUUUCUAUGUUUUUUUUGUUUUUUUAACAAAUGAUUCGAUCGAACCCUAUGUAGGUUGUCUACGUAUCAUGUCCCUUAUGAAUCAGAUCAAACAUAGUUCUAGAAAAGUGAUGGAAAAUAAAUUAAGAGACAAAAAUCUUUUUGGAUUUUGCAUUUAUAACUUUUUUUGAUUUUUCAAAUACAAAAGAAGAAGUACUAUAACCAAAGACUCGAAAAUAUUAACUAGAUUUACAGACUCGAUACUAUUGUACAAGACUAAAAAUUAAAAGAUAACAUAAGAUAGACUAAAAAAAUAGAAAGUUUCCUCAAGAAGCCGGUGCCUGCAAUUGUUUUGGCUAGAAUGAUCCUAGGUAUUAGUCAUGCUCAAACUCUAGUAAAUUAAUCCAUACCUGAAUGGAAAAAAUAAGAUCAAAUAGAGUUAGCGACUCAAGACACAUGCGACGCCACGACAUCUUCUAUUGGACAGAUGAAAGACAUGAUUGGGCUACUUUUGCAAAAUUAAUAUAUGUGGCCAAGGAUGGCUAUUAGUGCAAACUCAAAAAAUGUAACCUCAAAGACAUGAUAAUACCGCACUAAGGCUUAUAUGGAUUCAAAUACACAAUAAUCAUGGCCCAAAUUAAUUUGCAAAAAUAACUCAUUUUGCAAAAAAAGCAUAUGUGGCCGAAAGUUGCUAAAGAUGCAAACUCAAAAGGACGGACCUUAAAGUAAUAUGACACCUAGUUGUGGACUCAAAAUUCUAAGACAUCGGUAAUUGAACCAAUUUUUGUAAAAAUAACCCCGUUUUGCAAGAAUUGCCGAUGUGACCAAAAGUGGCUAGACAUGCAAGAUUUGGCUAAUACCCUGCAAAGCCAAUAACCUAAGACUCACUAGGAAGAUCGGACCCUAUGUGGGUUGCCUACUUAUCUUGCCCCGAAAGGACGAGAAUCAGGUUUGCGUAGUUCGGGAAGAUUAGAUAUGGCAGAAAAAUUUAAACAAAUCGCAACUAAUUAAUUUGAAAAAACUCUAUCUUUUUGUCUCUUUGACAAAUGAUGGAAAAUGUAAAAUAUUUUGGGUUUUCUUUUUCACCCUUUUUUUAGAAGUUUUGGGGUAUGAAAAUGUGAAAUCUUUUUGGAUUUUCUUUUUAAUUUUUUUUUUUGAAUUUUUGGAAAAUAAUGGAGAAGUGCAAAAUCUUUUUGAAUUUUCUAUUUCAUUUUUUGUGAAUUUAUGGGAAAAAGAUGGAAAAGUGUAAAAAAAUUUGUAUUUUUGUAUUUUCAUUUUUUGAAUUUUAGAUAAUGGGAAAAUGUAAAAUAUUUUUUUGAUUUUCUAUUUUCAAUGUUUUUCUUCUUUUUUGAAAAAUAAUGGAAAAGUAAAAUCUUCUUGGAGUUUUUUCAUUUUAAUUUUUUUUCAUUUUUGGAAAACUAUAAAGAAAAAUGCGAGUGGACCCUACUUGCUUCAUUUUCACCCUUUUUUCCCAAACGCCGGUCCGUCAAAUUACCUUCUUACCCUCAAAGAUGCAACAUGUAGCAUAGGAUGAUUAGAUGUCAUUUUAGACCACGGGACCAUUUUGACAAAAUUUGGACAGGAUCCCUUCAAAGGGACACGGUACCUGGGACCGAGCCCUACUAGGUGUAAAUGACAUGAUGCAAAUAAAAAUGACCUAAAGGCUGAACUAAAUUUGGGGUUCACUAACAAGGCAAUUCGGGGGAGCGUAUGGUCGAUAGUGGUUGCUCAAGCUUUUCACCCACUCCAUACGUCCGAUGGGCCCCCUCCUAAAUUAAGGGUGACUCAACAAAGAUUUCGUGCACGCGACGUGUGCUCCGAGACUUGUUGCAUAAAGAAUUGAUUGGGUAAUGCAUAUAUUGACAGUUAUAAAGCAGUAAACACAUAAAGCAAAAAUGUAAACACAUAAACAACAAGAAAAUAACAAAAUAUAAAACAUAACAAAAAUUAAGCAAAGCGAAUGAAAAAGCAUAAAACAAACUCAACCAAAUAUUCUAAAAGCCAACAAAAUCAAGUACUAGCUCGAACUUAUAAGUCCCCAGCAGAGUCGCCAGAGAUGUCACACCCUCUAUUUUAAAACCAAACCUCACUUAAUCCUCUUAAAAUUAAUAAAAAUAUUUAAGUAAAAGCUCGAAAAGGGUUUUCAAUUUUAAAAGUGACAAAUUUGUUUCAAAAGGAAAUAAACUCAGAGUCGCCACCGGACGUUUAAUUUUGAUGUGCUAGGUCACAAUUUUUUUUUCAAAAUAAUUUUUUCUUUUAGGACGUUUCAGACUCUAAAACCAAGUCCGAACCAGAGAUUCAGGUAAGAGGGUUCAUUUGACUCGGGGAGAAGGUGUUAGGCACUCCCCAAGUCCCGUGAAGGUCCCGAUUGCGUACUCGAUCUAGCUGGCUUUUAGAAUAUUCGAUAGAGGUAAAAAACAUAUAAAAGGAAAAUAAACACACAAGAGGCUCGAGGUCGUCCCCACCUAAUGAAAGAAAAUUAAAAGUACUAAAAGUCCUAUACUACGCUAAGCUAAUGCUCCAUCGAUGAUGCCUCGGACUCCAAAUACAUAAUACUUCGGGGCAUACCACGGAUUAAAAUAUGUGAAGGUCACAGUUGCGUACUCAAUCUAGUUGGCUUUUAAGAUAUUCAAAUUGAGAAAAAACACGCAAAAAGAGACUAAACAACACAAGAGGCUCGAGGUCGUCCCCGCCUAAUAAAGGAAAAACAAAAGCAAAAUAAAGUACUAUCCUAUGCUUCCUCGAGUUACUUCAUCUUUGGCCUUCUUUUACAUUCACUUCAAGGCAUACCCCGGAUAAUAAUAUAUACAAACUUCAUGGGGAAUUCCCCAGAUAAUAAGCUAAUAGAGAUGACCUCUUGCCUCGAGAAUAAAAAUAAAAUAAAAUAAAGAAAACCUAAAAUUUGUCUACUCGAGUGUUGCCUCCUAGAGAUUGAAGCAAUAAAACAAAAUUAAACAAAAAAUUCACAUUCUAAUUUCCGUUUCGAGCAAAGUAUCCAACCCCAUAGCCUAAUACUUAUUUUACUACCUAAGCACAUCCAAUUCAAUUCAUAAGUUAACUCUGGAGUUAUCAAAAUAUUAGUCAAAAUGCCUUAAACACAUUUCCUUCAGCGAAUAAUUGAAACAGACGACUAACACAUGUUCUAACCAUCAAACCUAUCCAAUAAUUCACCAAAUAACAUACAAAUAAAUAGGCAGCAGCAAAAUGUAUAAUUAACUAUUGCCAAAGCACUCAAAAAUUCGAGAUAAAGUCAUCGAAUGCUAACUCAUACCAUCAACGAAACAAAGCAAAGAAAGACUAAGAAAACGAUGAAGUCACGAGGUUAAGCAAAACAAGAUAGAAGGAAUAAGAAAUGAACCUCAGAAGUCGAAUCUGAAACGUUACCGCUUGGACUGCUCUGAAAGCGACCAGAUCACGAACAAGACAUCGACGGAAAUGAAACCUCGAAUCGGUAACAAACUCAAAUUCAACUCCCACGAGCCUCGAACCAGCAAACUCGCUAGUCAACUCCGAACGGAUCUCACACGAAAUCUAUUUUUUCGCAACCAGAUUUUGACUCAAAUACAAGAACUGAUCUUAACGUGAACACAUCCAUGAUAUUAAUACCGAGUAUUUUCGAGGGUAAAUCGAUCCAAAGUUCUACUGUCUUGUUGGAGCUUUUUGGUCGCUCGUUUUCAGAUUUGAAGGACAGCCUUAAAUAGCAGAACAGGGAUGAGGGACGAUGGCUAUACUAUUUAUGGUCGCUGGGGGACGUGAGGAGCAGACGACGAAGCAGUUGGAGAUGAUCUUUCACGGCGAUUGCUGGUUUCAGGGGUCUAGUCAGUGACGGGCUAGGUGGGGUCGUUUGGUUCGUGGUUGAAGAUGGAGACGGGGUGGUCUGGCUAGGGAUGUUGACGACGAAGAUGGGAGAAUUCCGACGGCGUCUGGUUGGUUUGACGACAGGUCUUUGGCGUUAGGGAUGGGUGGCGGCUGGUUAACUAGGUUAGUCUCUAGGGUUCAGCCUUGUCUUCAUGGAAAAGAAGAAGAAGCAGCCAUGAAAGGGUGAUUGUCGCGUGGUUGUCCAGCGGCAGAGGGUGGAGCUGACGGCGGCGGGCUGGCGGCUGACUAGGUGUUUUGGGUCCUAGAGUUUUUGUUUCAUUGUUUUCUAGUUCAAGGUCUUUUUCAAGAAGAGGAAGAAGCUAGGGUUUGAAUUGCAGGUUAUGUCUUAAGGUUCUAGGUUUUGGGCUUUAAAAAUUAGGCGUUAGACUUUUAUAAACAUUGCGCUAAAAACAAAAGCUGAAUAUUUAAUUUAAAUUCCUACAAAAAUACAAAAAC
RNAcentral lists this long non-coding RNA (4338 nucleotides) under Nicotiana benthamiana. RNAcentral's name for it is "long non-coding RNA (NBEN_LNC004660)". Lineage: Eukaryota; Viridiplantae; Streptophyta; Magnoliopsida; Solanales; Solanaceae. The record is from RNAcentral.